GGUCCCGUGGCUCAGCGGGAGAGCGCUUCCCUGACACGGAAGAGGUCACUGGUUCAAUCCCAGUAUCGCGCACCA
Molecule: transfer RNA, 75 nt
Filed under: Mycobacterium colombiense
Lineage: Bacteria; Bacillati; Actinomycetota; Actinomycetes; Mycobacteriales; Mycobacteriaceae
Description: tRNA-Val
Rfam family: tRNA (bases 8-64)
About the family: Transfer RNA (tRNA) molecules are approximately 80 nucleotides in length.
Source: RNAcentral